GACAUGGCUUAGUGGAAAGAGCAUGGGUUUGGGAAACCGAGGAUAUGGGUUCUAAUCCCACUCUGUCA
Molecule: transfer RNA, 68 nt
Filed under: Ornithorhynchus anatinus (platypus)
Lineage: Eukaryota; Metazoa; Chordata; Mammalia; Monotremata; Ornithorhynchidae
Rfam family: tRNA
About the family: Transfer RNA (tRNA) molecules are approximately 80 nucleotides in length. Their secondary structure includes four short double-helical elements and three loops (D, anti-codon, and T loops). Further hydrogen bonds mediate the characteristic L-shaped molecular structure. tRNAs have two regions of fundamental functional importance: the anti-codon, which is responsible for specific mRNA codon recognition, and the 3' end, to which the tRNAs corresponding amino acid is attached (by aminoacyl-tRNA synthetases). tRNAs cope with the degeneracy of the genetic code in two manners: having more than one tRNA (with a specific anti-codon) for a particular amino acid; and 'wobble' base-pairing, i.e. permitting non-standard base-pairing at the 3rd anti-codon position.
Source: Rfam by way of RNAcentral